This 301-nucleotide ribosomal RNA is filed under the name uncultured bacterium. Its description in RNAcentral is "partial 16S ribosomal RNA". It matches the Rfam family "Bacterial small subunit ribosomal RNA", at positions 509 to 807 of the family's 1533-position model. The record is from RNAcentral.
CAGUAGCCACGGGAAUACGGAGGGUGCAAGCGUUAUCCGGAUUCACUGGGUUUAAAGGGUGCGUAGGCGGGCAGGUAAGUCAGUGGUGAAAUCUUCGAGCUUAACUCGGAAACUGCCGUUGAUACUAUCUGUCUUGAAUAACGUUGAGGUGAGCGGAAUAUGUCAUGUAGCGGUGAAAUGCUUAGAUAUGACAUAGAACACCGAUUGCGAAGGCAGCUCACUAAACGCUCAUUGACGCCGAGGCACGAAAGCGUGGGGAUCAAACAGGAUUAGAUACCCCGGUAGUCCCUGUCUCUUAUAC